CACCAGCGCUGCAAGCGGGAAUCGCGAUUAUUGGGCCUAAAGCGUCCGUAGCCGGUUGAGUGAAUCUUCUGUGAAAUCGUUCGGCUGAAACGAACGGCGGGCAGGAGACACUGCUCGACUUGGAACCGGGAGGGGUCAGAGGUAUUUUUGGGGGAGCGGUAAAAUGCUAUAAUCCUAAAAAGACUACCUGUGGCGAAGGCGUCUGACUAGAACGGAUUCGACGGUGAGGGACGAAAGCUAGGGGAGCGAAUCGG
RNAcentral lists this ribosomal RNA (254 nucleotides) under uncultured bacterium. RNAcentral's name for it is "partial 16S ribosomal RNA". It matches the Rfam family "Archaeal small subunit ribosomal RNA", at positions 474 to 727 of the family's 1478-position model. The record is from RNAcentral.